UGGGGAAUAUUGGACAAUGGGCGCAAGCCUGAUCCAGCCAUGCCGCGUGUGUGAAGAAGGCCUUUUGGUUGUAAAGCACUUUAAGCGAGGAGGAGGCUACUUGGAUUAAUACUCUAGGAUAGUGGACGUUACUCGCAGAAUAAGCACCGGCUAACUCUGUGCCAGCAGCCGAGGUAAUACAGAGGGUGCGAGCGUUAAUCGGAUUUACUGGGCGUAAAGCGUGCGUAGGCGGCUUUUUAAGUCGGAUGUGAAAUCCCUGAGCUUAACUUAGGAAUUGCAUUCGAUACUGGGAAGCUAGAGUAUGGGAGAGGAUGGUAGAAUUCCAGGUGUAGCGGUGAAAUGCGUAGAGAUCUGGAGGAAUACCGAUGGCGAAGGCAGCCAUCUGGCCUAAUACUGACGCUGAGGUACGAAAGCAUGGGGAGCAAACAGG
Molecule: ribosomal RNA, 430 nt
Filed under: bacterium
Lineage: Bacteria
Also listed under: 1 other name
Description: partial 16S ribosomal RNA
Rfam family: Bacterial small subunit ribosomal RNA
Source: RNAcentral